Molecule: ribosomal RNA, 252 nt
Filed under: uncultured bacterium
Lineage: Bacteria
Description: partial 16S ribosomal RNA
Rfam family: Bacterial small subunit ribosomal RNA
Source: RNAcentral
GACAGAGGUCCCGAGCGUUGUUCGGAUUCAUUGGGCGUAAAGGGUGUGUAGGAGGCUAGGUAAGUCAGGUGUGAAAUCUCAGAGCUUAACUCUGAAACUGCGCUUGAUACUGCUUAGCUAGAGGAUCGGAGGGGGUAACGGAAUUCAUGGUGUAGCAGUGAAAUGCGUAGAUAUCAUGAGGAACACCGGUGGCGAAGGCGGUUACCUGAAGAUUCCUGACUCUGAAACACGAAAGCCAGGGGAGCAAACGGG